GGGCCGGGCUGUGCUGAGGCCGGCGGGGUGGUAGCACAGGAGGGGUUCGCAGGCUCUGCGGCCGUGCGUGGCGGGGCGUGGGGGCCCGCAGGGCGGAAGUAGCUCGGAGAGACGGGCUGGGGCAGGGCGUGCGUUCGUGCGGUCAAAAUCCACUGGUGGCGUUUGGGGUGUUCCCGUGGACGCGGCCUCCCGGCAGGCGGACCUCCACCGGGUGGGCGCGGCAGGCGGGCUGUGCGGGCAGGAAGAGCGACGAGCUUGAGAGUGGGAGAUGGGGUGCAACGGCGGGCCUCUCCGGGGAGGUGACACUGCCGCUGAGACCCGAAUGGAAGGGCGCGCCCGGCGGGGGAACAGCAGGCGCCGAGGUUCGCUGGAAGCAGGGAAGGGAGGCCCGGGUACCGGCUCGCAGGCCCGCGCGAGCUUCGCGGCAGCGGCACGGAGCGUGUGAACGGCGCAGCGCCGAGGCUUCAUCCAUCGGCCGGUGCAGGGUCCGGGCAGGGAGCACUGUCGACCAGGGUCCGACCCUGGGAGAGUCCAGAGGUGGCGCCUCUGGCAGGGACAGAGGAGGGGGUGACGCUGUAGGGGUGCAGGCAGGAGGCUCCGCGUCAACUCCCCACACUGACGGGGCGGAUUUUUUUUUUUUUUUGACAGAGUCUCGCACUGUUGCCCAGGCUGGAGUGCAGCGGCGCGAUCUCGGCUCACUGCAACCUCCGCCUCCCGGGUUCAAGCGAUUCUCCUGCCUCAGCCUCCCGAGUAGCUGGGAUUACAGGCGCACACUACCACACCCGGCUAAUUUUUUUUGUAUUUUUCUGGUAGAGACAGGGUUUCACUAUGUUGGCCAGACUGGUCGAGAACUCCUGACCUCGUGAUCCGCUCCUAGGUUCGCCUUGGCCUCCCAAAGUGCUCGCUCCUGGGCGUCCCAAAGUGCUGGGAUUACAGGCGUGAGCCACCGCCCCCGGCCGAGGGCGGGUUUUGUUCUCUGCUGUGCCUGUCAGGCAGUCGUUGCCCUGUGGUUAUUUGUGGAGGGAUUGACGGUGCGCUGAGCUUCAGACUUUGUCUGAACAGCUUCGUGGCAGCAAGGAAGGGAGAAGGGAACAGAUCCAAGCCGAUCUUUGGGAGGAGAGAACCAGCAUGACUUGGAGACUUUAGAUGUCAGAGCAAAGGACAGGGUGCAGCUUGGUGACCCGGAGUGGGUGGGUGGGUGAAUGGAUGGAUAGAUAGUGGGGAUGUGGUCUGCCAUCACUGCCCUCUUCCCUGUGUGGGAAGCCAGCUCUUGGUGACUUCCUGCCGAGACCCACUCCCUCUGGCCCUGUCCGAGGGUGUCAAGUGUGCCCUUGACCCUUCACCCUGGGCUAAGGGAUGUCCAAGGAGUUGGGGACAAAGGCAGCUAGGAGGAGGAGCUACCUCCCGAGUCUGCUGCAGUAAGUCACCAGUGUGUUCCUGUGGGUGGAGGCUGGCAGGCCCAUCAGUCUGGUUUGGGUACCCGUUGGAUUUGGGUUUGAUGACAUGUAAAGUGAGUUAGAGUCUCUGCAUUACUGUCACACCUGCUGUGCCCAGGCAUGGAAGAUUAAGUGGAACAGAGGGGCCGCCCCCCUGCUGAAGGGGCCCCAGAGUCGGCGCUAGGGGAGGGGGCAGCCUCGGUGGUCCAGGCAGGCAUAGGCGGAAUUCUCUGAGGUGGCAUUGGAGUCCAGUGGUCAGAGGUGCUAAAAGGCCCCAAACCUAGAGCCCAUGCCCAGGGCCCCACUGACACCUGGUGGGCAGGGGCAGCCUGGUGACCCCACAUGACAUGGGUGGGCGUGACGCAGCACCAGCUGGGCCGACAGCCCUCCCCCUGCUGGUUUUUAAUGCUCUGCAGUAAUGUCAUUUGGCCUGCGAAUAAGCUUUCACACAUUUUAUAUUAAAUCUACAAGUAUGAUUUAUUCAGGCACUUACGAAUUUAAUCAAAUUUGUUUCUAAAUAUUACUGAUUUUUGUUAUCAAAUGUGCCAUCAGCUGUUGAGCUUUGAGAAUUGAGCAUCCUGGCUUUUGCCAUUUUGAGGAUCAGCAGAAGCAUGUCUGGAAGAAAUGUGAGAAAAUAAAACUCAGGAGCCUACCCCCACCCUGCCCUUCCAGGAGCUCAGCCCCAGAGCCAGGCUGCUAAGGCCAUGGAGGCUGAGGGCAGUGGAGCUGGGGUUUCUGGAGCCUCAGGGGCCCUGGUUUGCUGGAAGGGCAGGCAGGGCUUCAUGGAGGGCAUUAGGCAGUGGCCAGAGCCCUGCAGUGCUGGGCAUGGGCUUCUCGUGGGCUCUGGCCACGGCCCUGAGCUCCUCCCCUUACCUUCCCAGAGCGGAGGGUCACCUGCUGAGCUGGGCACGGGCUUCUCGUGGGCUCUGGCCACGGCCCUGAGCUCCUCCCCUUGCCUUCCCAGAGCGGAGGGUCACCUGCUGACAGUUUGGGGCGGCUCUGUCUUUGAGAGCAUGCCCUCAUGAAGGCAGAAUGUCCUCCCUGCCUCCAUCCUCUGUGGCCCGGUGGCUCCUGCAGUGCCUGCCCUCAGAGGCUGGUGGCCUGGGACACAGGGAUGAGGAUGGGCUUGGUGGUGCUGCAGGUCACAGUGGGUCAUGAAGGAGCUUUGGGGGUGUUGCAUUCUCUGGUAAAGCACAGCAAGGGAGCCCUUUUACCCACUACUAAAACCUGGCUCUGCACUGAGGCCAUGCGCAGCCCAGUCAGGUGGACGAGGGGGUAACGACUGGACCGUGGGGAGGCAUCAGAGGAGGAGCUGCUGAGAGGCGGGUCACCACAGCCUGGUGCCUGUCUGGAGAGGGUGGGGCUGGGGGAGGUGCUGGCCAGGUCCAUGGGGGUGGCCAGGCUGGGUCUGAAAGGGCCUUGCGCUGGUGUGGGGUGAGCUUGGUCUGUUGGGAGAGUAUGCAGUUCAUUGGGGCCUCCCUGGCUCCAGGUUUGCAUGUCUGAGGAGUGGGUAUCAUCAGGGCCUGGGGCCUCUCCAGUGGGCAUGUCUGAACUCUCCCAGGGUUGGGAGCCUGUGCUCAUCACAAGCUCAAAGCACUCCAUUUCUGCUACCAUGAAGUCAAGGAUGGUGACUGUGAGCCGCCUGGGACCUGAGCUGCCUGGGACUGUGACUGAGGCACCCGGGGUGCCUCUUAGGGCCUUGGGUUUGGGCCCAUGGCUAGAUGAGCCUUGGUGAUUCUGUGGUAUUGCCUGGGCCAGGUGGACCCAGGGGCAGCUGCGGCUAGUCCAUUUGGAGCUCCUUCAAGCCGAAGCAUCCAACACCAGUGUCUGUGAGGUGUGGG
This 3277-nucleotide long non-coding RNA is filed under the name Homo sapiens (human). RNAcentral's name for it is "non-protein coding lnc-DNASE1L2-2:6". Lineage: Eukaryota; Metazoa; Chordata; Mammalia; Primates; Hominidae. The record is from RNAcentral.